AAUAAAUAAAUAAAUAAGAAAGAUGAGUCUUAAAUUAUAUGGAGGCUCUAGAUGGAAAUGUCUUUUAGACAAUUUAUUUGUGUAUAAUUUUUAUGGCAAUUCUUGUUUUGAGCAGUGGGUACAAUUUACUUAUUUUAGACAAUUUACUUGUGUAGAAAUACCUAACCUUUUAUGAAUUUUAUGACACAUGUUCUCUGUUUUUAAUCCAUUAGUUAUAGUUAGCUUGCUUUCUUUCUUUAACCAAAAUCAUAGUUCAAAGCAUGUUUUUAAACAA
RNAcentral lists this unclassified non-coding RNA (274 nucleotides) under Hevea brasiliensis (rubber tree). Lineage: Eukaryota; Viridiplantae; Streptophyta; Magnoliopsida; Malpighiales; Euphorbiaceae. The record is from RNAcentral.